AUACGUAGGGGGCGAGCGUUGUCCGGAAUGAUUGGGCGUAAAGGGCGCGUAGGCGGCCCGGUAAGUCUGGAGUGAAAGUCCUGUUUUUAAGAUGGGAAUUGCUUUGGAUACUGUCGGGCUUGAGUGCUGGAGAGGUAAGUGGAAUUCCCAGUGUAGCGGUGAAAUGCGUAGAGAUUGGGAGGAACACCAGUGGCGAAGGCGACUUACUGGACUGUAACUGACGCUGAGGCGCGAAAGUGUGGGGAGCAAACAGGAUUAGAUACCCUGGUAGUCCACACUGUAAACGAUGAAUGCUAGGUGUAGGGGGUAUCGACCCCUUCUGUGCCGCAGUCAACACAAUAAGCAUUCCGCCUGGGGAGUACGGCCGCAAGGUUGAAACUCAAAGGAAUUGACGGGG
Molecule: ribosomal RNA, 397 nt
Filed under: uncultured bacterium
Lineage: Bacteria
Description: partial 16S ribosomal RNA
Rfam family: Bacterial small subunit ribosomal RNA
Source: RNAcentral